UACGAAGGGGGCGAGCGUUGUUCGGAAUUACUGGGCGUAAAGCGUGCGCAGGCGGUUCGCUAAGACCGAUGUGAAAUCCCCGGGCUUAACCUGGGAACUGCAUUGGUGACUGGCGGGCUAGAGUAUGGCAGAGGGGGGUAGAAUUCCACGUGUAGCAGUGAAAUGCGUAGAGAUGUGGAGGAACACCGAUGGCGAAGGCAGCCCCCUGGGUCAAGAUUGACGCUCAUGCACGAAAGCGUGGGGAGCAAACAGG
Molecule: ribosomal RNA, 253 nt
Filed under: uncultured bacterium
Lineage: Bacteria
Description: partial 16S ribosomal RNA
Rfam family: Bacterial small subunit ribosomal RNA
Source: RNAcentral